AUUGAACGCUGGCGGCAGGCCUAACACAUGCAAGUCGAGCGGAUGAAGGGAGCUUGCUCCUGGAUUCAGCGGCGGACGGGUGAGUAAUGCCUAGGAAUCUGCCUGGUAGUGGGGGAUAACGUCCGGAAACGGGCGCUAAUACCGCACACGUCCUGAGGGAGAAAGUGGGGGAUCUUCGGACCUCACGCUAUCAGAUGAGCCUAGGUCGGAUUAGCUAGUUGGUGGGGUAAAGGCCUACCAAGGCGACGAUCCGUAACUGGUCUGAGAGGAUGAUCAGUCACACUGGAACUGAGACACGGUCCAGACUCCUACGGGAGGCGGCAGUGGGGAAUAUUGGACAAUGGGCGAAAGCCUGAUCCAGCCAUGCCGCGUGUGUGAAGAAGGUCUUCGGAUUGUAAAGCACUUUAAGUUGGGAGGAAGGGCAGUAAGUUAAUACCUUGCUGUUUUGACGUUACCAACAGAAUAAGCACCGGCUAACUUCGUG
Molecule: ribosomal RNA, 484 nt
Filed under: uncultured bacterium
Lineage: Bacteria
Description: partial 16S ribosomal RNA
Rfam family: Bacterial small subunit ribosomal RNA
Source: RNAcentral